UCAAAUUCAAUAAAUGACUGCGUUUGA
This 27-nucleotide non-coding RNA is filed under the name Bombyx mori (domestic silkworm). Lineage: Eukaryota; Metazoa; Arthropoda; Insecta; Lepidoptera; Bombycidae. The record is from RNAcentral.